RNAcentral lists this ribosomal RNA (497 nucleotides) under uncultured bacterium. Its description in RNAcentral is "partial 16S ribosomal RNA". It matches the Rfam family "Bacterial small subunit ribosomal RNA", at positions 28 to 507 of the family's 1533-position model. The record is from RNAcentral.
GAUGAACGCUGGCGGCGUGCCUAAUACAUGCAAGUCGAGCGAACGGACGAGAAGCUUGCUUCUCUGAUGUUAGCGGCGGACGGGUGGGUAACACGUGGAUAACCUACCUAUAAGACUGGGAUAACUUCGGGAAACCGGAGCUAAUACCGGAUAAUAUUUUGAACCGCAUGGUUCAAAAGUGAAAGACGGUCUUGCUGUCACUUAUAGAUGGAUCCGCGCUGCAUUAGCUAGUUGGUAAGGUAACGGCUUACCAAGGCAACGAUGCAUAGCCGACCUGAGAGGGUGAUCGGCCACACUGGAACUGAGACACGGUCCAGACUCCUAAGGGAGGCAGCAGUAGGGAAUCUUCCGCAAUGGGCGAAAGCCUGACGGAGCAACGCCGCGUGAGUGAUGAAGGUCUUCGGAUCGUAAAACUCUGUUAUUAGGGAAGAACAUAUGUGUAAGUAACUGUGCACAUCUUGACGGUACCUAAUCAGAAAGCCACGGCUAACUACGUG